RNAcentral lists this ribosomal RNA (492 nucleotides) under uncultured bacterium. RNAcentral's name for it is "partial 16S ribosomal RNA". It matches the Rfam family "Bacterial small subunit ribosomal RNA", at positions 28 to 507 of the family's 1533-position model. The record is from RNAcentral.
GACGAACGCUGGCGGCGUGCCUAACACAUGCAAGUCGAACGGCAACACAGUGCGUGCUUGCGGUGACGGGUGGCAAGUGGCGGGCGGGACAGGAGUAAAUCCGACCCUUCACUUUCGGAGGGCAUAACGAAGCGGGGCUUAAGCUAAUAUCGCAUCUGACCUUCGGGUGAGAGCGUGGGAUCUUCUGCGCUUUCGGGAUUGGAUGAGCCGCUGUCGGAUUAGCUAGUUGGCGGGGUAAAGGCCCACCAAGGCGCCGAUCGGUAGCUGGUCUGAGAGGAUGAUCAGCCACACUGGAACUGAGACACGGUCCAGACUCCUACGGGAGGCAGCAGUGGGGAAUAUUGGACAAUGGGCGCAAGCCUGAUCCAGCCAUACCGCGUGGGUGAAGAAGGCCUUCGGGUUGUAAAGCCCUUUUGUUGGGAAAGAAAAGCAGCAGGUUAAUACCCCGCUGUUCUGACGGUACCCAAAGAAUAAGCACCGGCUAACUUCGUG